GACACACACCCCGGGGUGGAGGGAUUUCUGUUCUUAAAAAUCUGUCUUGUUGAGGAACAACAACCCGAGUAAUAUUCUUCUCCCCCUCUGGAGGCAAAACACAAAAAACACCGGGGUAUUAUUCUGCGCCCCCGCCCCCGGUAAUAAAUGGGGGCCCCGACGUGUUUUCCAAAAUUCUUGGGAAGUCGGAACAAGGUAACCCUUAAAUUUUGUUAUCCUGCUCAGGACGAACGCUGGCGGCGUGCCUAAUACAUGCAAGUCGAGCGGACAGAAGGGAGCUUGCUCCCGGAUGUUAGCGGCGGACGGGUGAGUAACACGUGGGUAACCUGCCUGUAAGACUGGGAUAACUCCGGGAAACCGGAGCUAAUACCGGAUAGUUCCUUGAACCGCAUGGUUCAAGGAUGAAAGACGGUUUCGGCUGUCACUUACAGAUGGACCCGCGGCGCAUUAGCUAGUUGGUGAGGUAACGGCUCACCAAGGCGACGAUGCGUAGCCGACCUGAGAGGGUGAUCGGCCACACUGGGACUGAGACACGGCCCAGACUCCUACGGGAGGCAGCAGUAGGGAAUCUUCCGCAAUGGACGAAAGUCUGACGGAGCAACGCCGCGUGAGUGAUGAAGGUUUUCGGAUCGUAAAGCUCUGUUGUUAGGGAAGAACAAGUGCAAGAGUAACUGCUUGCACCUUGACGGUACCUAACCAGAAAGCCACGGCUAACUACGUGCCAGCAGCCGCGGUAAUACGUAGGUGGCAAGCGUUGUCCGGAAUUAUUGGGCGUAAAGGGCUCGCAGGCGGUUUCUUAAGUCUGAUGUGAAAGCCCCCGGCUCAACCGGGGAGGGUCAUUGGAAACUGGGAAACUUGAGUGCAGAAGAGGAGAGUGGAAUUCCACGUGUAGCGGUGAAAUGCGUAGAGAUGUGGAGGAACACCAGUGGCGAAGGCGACUCUCUGGUCUGUAACUGACGCUGAGGAGCGAAAGCGUGGGGAGCGAACAGGAUUAGAUACCCUGGUAGUCCACGCCGUAAACGAUGAGUGCUAAGUGUUAGGGGGUUUCCGCCCCUUAGUGCUGCAGCUAACGCAUUAAGCACUCCGCCUGGGAUACGCCCC
This 1101-nucleotide ribosomal RNA is filed under the name Bacillus altitudinis. RNAcentral's name for it is "bacterial SSU rRNA". The stretch from base 204 to 1101 matches the Rfam family "Bacterial small subunit ribosomal RNA", at positions 1 to 888 of the family's 1533-position model. The record is from RNAcentral. Lineage: Bacteria; Bacillati; Bacillota; Bacilli; Caryophanales; Bacillaceae.